GCGGCUGGAAGAGCACCGCAC
RNAcentral lists this small nuclear RNA (21 nucleotides) under Arabidopsis thaliana (thale cress). RNAcentral describes it as "snRNA_07698". Lineage: Eukaryota; Viridiplantae; Streptophyta; Magnoliopsida; Brassicales; Brassicaceae. The record is from RNAcentral.